ACUGAUAUUGUAAAGAUUUACUGUGGCCCCAGCAGAAGAUGGAGACAUGUCAGUGUAGCUCUGUCUGCAGACCUGCAGACAUCUGAGCUGCUGGCAAGCCCUUCUCCACCCACCCACGGCCAGGGCUCGCUGCCUAUCCUGGCACCCACUGACUGGGCUGGCCAGGGCCUCCAGGACUAUGACCUUGGCAGCCACAGAAAGAAGAGCUCUGUGUCUCCCCUUCAUGUUCCAUCCCACUGCCACAGGGCCAGAGAGAGAGAGAGACAGGGAAAUUUAUUGCUGACAUCUCUGGGCCCUUCGCCAUUAACAAAGAAGAAGCUGAAUGGGACCUAUGGAGCUUCCAGCCACUCCUUUCCACCUUCUGCGUGGCGUUGACUGCAGGAUUGAGGCCAGGAAGCCCAGAUCUUGUGUCCUGUUCACUAGAACUUUCUUCCAGAAAACAUUUCACUUUCUCAACCUUUUCCAUGCAGUGGAAGAAGGCCAUUUUCUCCAGUUCGUUACUGUUAUAACAUGUGUUGAUUUCUUCCAGCCUCUUCACUUUUAACAUCUUGGUGGUAUCUUACCCAAGAGAAAUGAGAACAUGAACACUCAGAGCUUGGCACAUGGAUGUUCUUGGCAGAAUUAUUCACAAGAGCCUAAAAUUGGCAACACCAUAAAUGUCCAUCAUUGGUUUGGUAAAAAGAAAGAGAGAAUGUGAUGUGUCCAUUCAACUGGAAUACUGCUCAAUAAUAAAAAGGAAAGAAGUACUGAUCCCUGCUACAACUUGGAUUAAAAAAUCAUUGUGCUAGGUGAAAAAAGCCAGAAAUAAAGACCACAUAUUAAAGAGUUCCAUUUGUUUGAAAUGUCCAUAAAAGGCAAAUCCACAGACACAAAAAGUAGAUUCGUGGUUUCCUGGGGCUGAGAGCAGGAACAGGGAUUAACUGUAAAUAAAAUCUUAUUGAGGUGGUGGAAAUGUUAAAAAAAAAAAACUGUUCUGUGGGACACCUGGGUGGCUCAGUGGGUUAAUAAACCUCUGCCUUCUGCUCAGGUCAUGGUCUCAGGGUCCUGGGAUCGAGCCCCGCAUCAGGCUCUCUGCUCAGCAGGGAACCUGCCUCCCUCUCUCUUUCUCUGCCUGCCUCUCUGCCUAGUU
This is a long non-coding RNA of Mustela lutreola (European mink), 1129 nucleotides long. RefSeq lists it as uncharacterized. The record is from RefSeq and is a predicted model, not a curated record. The transcript is spliced from 3 exons. Lineage: Eukaryota; Metazoa; Chordata; Mammalia; Carnivora; Mustelidae.